RNAcentral lists this long non-coding RNA (1053 nucleotides) under Homo sapiens (human). Its description in RNAcentral is "non-protein coding lnc-ZNRF1-2:1". Lineage: Eukaryota; Metazoa; Chordata; Mammalia; Primates; Hominidae. The record is from RNAcentral.
UGCUUGUAAUCAUCUAUUCUGCGGCUGAGAGAAUAUCGGCCAUGGCCCGCAACCAGACAACCAACCUGUUUCCAAACAUGAAUAUUUUAAAAUAUUAGACUUUUGUUCUGGUAACUUGGAAAUUCAAAAGGAAUUUCCGUAUUGAAGGAUGACAUUAUGUAAUAUUUUAAACUCGAAAUUUCUUCACACCAUUAAGGUUUUUCAAUUUUGAAAGUCAAUGUUCCUCCAACAAUAAAACAAGAAAAACAUCUCAUUCUUGAUGGGGACAGAUAGGGACAGGUUUUUACACUAACUUGAGCAGUGGGGAACAGGAAAAGAUUGCUCUCUGCAAAUGGUGUGAUUUCACUGAGGAACACAACAGAUCCUUUCUCUCUGUGUAAAUCAGCCAACCUAUUCUGUGAUCACCAUUACAACAGAAUUUGUGUAUGCAAAUUCCCGGCUGGGCCUUCUCCUGUCAUCCUCCCAGCGGCUCCCCCGCCCUGCUCACGCUACUGAGACACUGGCACCUUACCUCAGACCAGAGCCCAGCACUAAACCUCUGGUUCCACUGCACAGGAUCUCAGUUCUUUCUUACAUCCUGAAGUUUUGUGCCCAGUAACACAGGGGACGAGGUAUAAGCUUCAUCCAAAACAGUGUUGUGAAAAUGUUUUGACUACAACUUUCAGUAAGAAAUGAAUUUACGCUAUGAUCCGGUAUACACCUGUGCACACAUGUGCUGCACACACGUAAACAAGUUACACAAAACAUUUUCCUUAGCUAUGUAUGGUACAUUGUGAUCAUUUUUCUCUUACACCAUUUCAUUUUUUUAAAUGCUGGUUUUCCGCACUAGAUCAAUGUCACAAUCCACUAAUGGGUCCUGACCUGGAGUUUGAAACACAUGAAUAUGCAAUGCUCUCCCAUUAUGAGACAUGUCCUAGUCCCUAAGCUAAUCUACUUGGAACUGUAAAAUUCUAAGAAACAGAAAUAGAUAUUUCAGUAGAAAUAAUAAAAAAGAUUUCUUUUCACUGGCACAUACAAAAUGUGAAGUUGAAAAUCAUUCUGAAAUUAGCCAGG